GAGUCGAGUUAUUUGGGACUAUAGCUCUAAUAGUUUGGUUGGUGGUAAUGACACAUCAAAGGCUAAAUAUUGGUUAGUCGAUGCAUAUUGCGGAGACCGAUAGCAUACAAGUACCGUAAGGGAACGAUGAAAAGCACCCUAUUGAGUUCACGGCGCAGACUCUGAUACUUCUGUAUCUUGUCCAGCGCCCAACAACUACAGUGGGAGUGAAAGAGAGAGUGAAAUCGCCUAUACAUAUAUAUAACAUAUGCACUACACACAGUAACCUGCAUAUUGCAGUCUGCGUUAGUACAAUCGGACAGAGUGUCGUAUAUAACAUAUGGCCGCCUAAUACAUAUCCACACACACUCUAUGUAUUAUGGCCUGGCCCAUAGUGGGUUCGCCCGCUAUACGCGACACGACUGUACGACCCGUUUUGAAACACGGACCAAGGAGUUCAACUGGAUUACGAGUCGUCGAGCGUACCGUAUAAUAUAUACCUACACUCACACGGCAUAGCGAAAGCAACUUAAUCCUUUACAGUGCUAGGUCGGCCGUCAAAAGCUCGACCGCAGCACGCGCUGAGUGAGUAUAUACGUGCGGGCCUUUUUGCGUCAACGCGUAUACCUGCGUUUAUUCACAGGAUCACUCAAGCGUUCAACGAGUAUAUCUUGUUGAGACCCGAAAGAUGGUGAACUAUGCUCGGAUAUGGCGAAGUCAGGUGAAAACUUGAUGGAAGCUUGCGUUGUGCGGAACUGACGUGCAAAUCGUUACCGCCUCACCUGAGUAUAGGGGCGAAAGACUCAUCGAACCAUCUAGUAGCUGGUUCCCUCCGAAGUUUCCCUCAGGAUAGC
This 833-nucleotide ribosomal RNA is filed under the name Ammonia sp. VS27. RNAcentral's name for it is "eukaryotic LSU rRNA". It matches the Rfam family "Eukaryotic large subunit ribosomal RNA", at positions 262 to 982 of the family's 3401-position model. The record is from RNAcentral. Lineage: Eukaryota; Foraminifera; Rotaliida; Rotaliidae.